UACGUAGGGUGCAGGCGUUAAUCGGAAUUACUGGGCGUAAAGCGUGCGCAGGCGGUUUGCUAAGACAGGUGUGAAAUCCCCCGGCUUAACCGGGGAACUGCGUCUGAUACUGGAUGGCUUGAGUUCGGGAGAGGGAUGCGGAAUUCCAGGUGUAGCGGUGAAAUGCGUAGAUAUCUGGAGGAACACCGGUGGCGAAGGCGGCAUCCUGGACCGAUACUGACGCUGAGGAGCGAAAGCCAGGGGAGCAAACGGG
Molecule: ribosomal RNA, 253 nt
Filed under: uncultured bacterium
Lineage: Bacteria
Description: partial 16S ribosomal RNA
Rfam family: Bacterial small subunit ribosomal RNA
Source: RNAcentral